Molecule: transfer RNA, 67 nt
Filed under: Stappia indica
Lineage: Bacteria; Pseudomonadati; Pseudomonadota; Alphaproteobacteria; Hyphomicrobiales; Stappiaceae
Description: tRNA-Ser
Source: RNAcentral
GCGGCGUAUACAGAUAAUAACCUUGCCAAGGUUGGGGUCGUGGGUUCGAAUCCCAUCGCCCGCUCCA